GACGAACGCUGGCGGCGUGCUUAACACAUGCAAGUCGAACGGAAAGGCCCCUUUGGGGGUACUCGAGUGGCGAACGGGUGAGUAACACGUGAGUAACCUGCCCUUGACUUCGGGAUAUCUUAAGGAAACUGGGGCUAAUACCGGAUAGGAAUCCUUGCAGCAUGGUAGGGGUUGGAAAGCUUCGGAGGUUUUGGAUGGACUCGCGGCUUAUCAGCCUGUUGGUGGGGUAGUGGCUGACCAAGGCUUUGACGGGUAGCCGGCCGGAGGGGGCGACCGGCCACAAUAAGACUGAGAAGCUGCCCAGACUACUACGGGAGGCAGCAGUAGUGAAUAAUGCACGACGGGCGGGAGCCUGAUGCAGCAGCGCCGCUGGCGGGAUGACGGCCGUCGGGGUAUAAUCCGCUGUCAGCAGGAGCGAAGCAUGUAGUGACGGUACCUGCAGAAGAAGCACCGGCUAACUACGUG
Molecule: ribosomal RNA, 465 nt
Filed under: uncultured bacterium
Lineage: Bacteria
Description: partial 16S ribosomal RNA
Rfam family: Bacterial small subunit ribosomal RNA
Source: RNAcentral